CCUACGGGUGGCAGCAGUGAGGAAUAUUGGUCAAUGGACGAGAGUCUGAACCAGCCAAGUAGCGUGAAGGAUGACUGCCCUAUGGGUUGUAAACUUCUUUUAUAUGGGAAUAAAAUGUUCCACGUGUGGGAUUUUGUAUGUACCAUAUGAAUAAGGGUCGGCUAACUCCGUGCCAGCAGCCGCGGUAAUACGGAGGAUCCGAGCGUUAUCCGGAUUUAUUGGGUUUAAAGGGAGCGUAGGUGGAUUGUUAAGUCAGUUGUGAAAGUUUGCGGCUCAACCGUAAAAUUGCAGUUGAAACUGGCAGUCUUGAGUACAGUAGAGGUGGGCGGAAUUCGUGGUGUAGCGGUGAAAUGCUUAGAUAUCACGAAGAACUCCGAUUGCGAAGGCAGUUCACUGGACUGCAACUGACACUGAGGCUCGAAAGUGUGGGUAUCAAACAGGAUUAGAUACCCGUGUAGUC
This 460-nucleotide ribosomal RNA is filed under the name uncultured bacterium. Its description in RNAcentral is "partial 16S ribosomal RNA". It matches the Rfam family "Bacterial small subunit ribosomal RNA", at positions 338 to 795 of the family's 1533-position model. The record is from RNAcentral.